This 450-nucleotide ribosomal RNA is filed under the name uncultured organism. RNAcentral describes it as "partial 16S ribosomal RNA". It matches the Rfam family "Bacterial small subunit ribosomal RNA", at positions 330 to 797 of the family's 1533-position model. The record is from RNAcentral.
CGUACACUCCUACGGGAGGCAGCAGUGGGGAAUAUUGGACAAUGGGCGCAAGCCUGAUCCAGCCAUGCCGCGUGAGUGAUGAAGGCCCUAGGGUUGUAAAGCUCUUUCACUGGUGAAGAUAAUGACGGUAACCGGAGAAGAAGCCCCGGCUAACUUCGUGCCAGCAGCCGCGGUAAUACGAAGGGGGCUAGCGUUGUUCGGAUUUACUGGGCGUAAAGCGCACGUAGGCGGACUAUUAAGUCAGGGGUGAAAUCCCGGGGCUCAACCCCGGAACUGCCUUUGAUACUGGUAGUCUUGAGUUCGAGAGAGGUGAGUGGAAUUCCGAGUGUAGAGGUGAAAUUCGUAGAUAUUCGGAGGAACACCAGUGGCGAAGGCGGCUCACUGGCUCGAUACUGACGCUGAGGUGCGAAAGCGUGGGGAGCAAACAGGAUUAGAAACCCUGGUAGUCCC